UAAGCGAAGCAAAAUAGGCUGUGGGCUGGAUUCUGCCCUCAAGCCCCCAGUUUGUGAUUUCAGCGUUGAUUUCUAGAACACUCAUCACCUUAUCUAAAUCUCUCUUCCCUUUUCUUAAAGUUAGACUGACCAAAGCCAACCUUUGGGAAAGAUAUUGAUUAGUACCAAUGGAGAAAUCAAAGAAUAUGUCCUAAGAGAUCAUGUGAGGAAGAUACUAAUUUCAAAUUAGACCUUCAGCCUCACUAUCAGCCAAGAUGUAGUAAUAGGGACUGACUAUCCUUCCACCUGAAACAACAACAACCAAAAAAACUGAGACAAAGUAAGGGGGACAAUUGUUCUUAUGACAUUGAACAUUAGUCAAUGAUGAACAGAGAUCUUUGAAAAAUGAAGAACAAAAGGAGUGAGCCCUACAAUUGACUUAGUUCACUGCCCUGGUGGAAGUUUCUGGGCCAUGACAUAAGUAAGGGAACCCACAGAGCCUGGUAGCCUCCUCAAGUUGAGGGGAUAGAACUGGGAAUCUGAGUUGGACAAAGUGGCUUGAAUUCUCAGGGUAGAAUACUGGAGAGAGGAAUGCUGUAAAGAGAGAUCUGCAGAUGAUCAUCUUGAAAUAUUCAGCUGAGAAUUGACUAGUGCAUGCAUGUGAGCAAGCUACCCAAGGCAGAGGAAAAAACUUUGGGAAGGGUGGGAGGGUAGAGUACCUGAGGUUCACACAAAACCAGAAGUAGUGCCGUUCUCAACAGAUUGGAAAAUCACAUCUUCCAAAGUCAUCACCUAGAGGACUGAAAAAAGGUCUUCCCUCAAUAGUAAGAUAAAAUUAACCUAGAUAAUGAUUCCACGGAGAUGGUGGAGUAGGGAUCACCAGGAAUCAGUCUCCCAUCUAGACAAAAAUGGCACUGGCAGAAUCUGGUGUAACUAUUUUGGAAUUCUGGAAUGUUUUGAAGCAUUGCAACUUACAGAGGAAGGCUUGGAUGGUAAAUUUUGGUUAAUUUUGGUCAAUUUCAGCUCUUAACACAGUAGCAGCUACCCCAUCCCCACCCCAGCCACAUGGCAGGCAGCUGUGUGCAUGUUCUUGGAGCAGCUUACAUACAGCCUCUAGGAGCGAGGGUGGACAAAAAGGGCCCUGUCUUCCAAAUAUUGGUGAUCUGUGUUCUCACUGCUGAUUGUUGCUUCUGAUGCAAAAAGAUGGGUAGCCACUUUUGCUGCACCCCUCCCCAUACCCCUCAUGAUUCCCCCAUUACAAGCCCCUCCCCCUCUGGCUGAGCUGACUUCCAGGAAAUUUAAAUGGCCAGUGCUCUUUUCUGACCCCUUCAAUUUUCACCUUUCCCCUUUCAUGAGCCAGACUUUAAAGACUGGAUAUUCAAAAAUAACUGCAUGGCUAGAGAAAAUUUAAAAAUGAUUGCACUUGCCCAAGGAAAGGCUCAGAAAAGACCUAAGAAGAUAUAAUAUUUAUACCUCAGGCUGAUCCUUUGCACAGAGACAACCUCAAACAAACAAACAAAAACAAAAAUCCCCAAAACAAUAACAAACAAACAACCCAGCAAACCCUGGGGGAAGGGGAAAACUUGAUUACCAGACUUCCCAGAUUAUUAGAAUCAAAAGUCCAGUGUUCAACCAAAAUCCACACAAAGCAUACAAAGAAUUGGGACAGUGUGGCCCAUUCAAAGGAAAAACAACUUGACAAUUUGCCCCUGAAAUAAACUUAAUAAGAUAUAUGAAAUGAAUACUUUAAAACAACUGUCUUAAUAUGUUCAAGGAACUAAAGGAAGUUGUAGGGAAAAAUCAAGAAAACAAGGUGUGAACAAAAUAGGCAUAUCUAUAAAGAGAAAACCUAAAAAACGGGAAAUUCUGAAGCUGAAAAGUACAAUAACUGAAAUUGAAAAUUCACUAGCAAUAUUCAAAAAUAGAUUUGAGCAGGCAAAAGGAAAAAUCAGUGAACUUGAAGAUAGGACAAUGGAAAUUAUUCAGGCUGAGGAACAGGAAGCAAAAAGAUUCAAGAAAAGAAAUGAAGCUAAAGGAAAUAUGGGACAACACAAAAUGUAGCCACAUACUUAUCAUGGGAGUCCCAGAAAGCAAAGUGAAAGAGGCAGAGAAAACAUUUGAAUAAUGGCUGAAAACUUCUCAAAUUUAAUGAAAGCCGUGAAUAUAAACAUCCAAGGAGCUCAACAAACUCCAAGUAAGAUGAAUCUACAGACCCACAUUGAAACACAUAAUCAAACUCUCAAAAGACAAAGACAAAGAACAAAACUUGAAAGCAACAAAUCAUAACAUACAAGUUCUCCAAUAAGAUUAUCUGCAGAUUUCUUAUCAGAAAUUGUAGAGGUCAUAGGACAGUGGGCCAAUAUAUUCAAAGUGCUCAAAAAUACUAUCAACCAAGAUUCCUACAUCCAGCAAAACUAUUCUUCAAAAAUGAGGGUAAAAUCAAAACAUUUCCAGAGAAUAAAAGCUGAGAUGGUUUAUGACCAUUAGACCUGCCCUGCAGGAGCUGCUGGAGGGAGUCCUGCAAGGUGAAACAAAAUGGUAUUAGAUAGUAACUCAAAGCCAUAUGGAGAAACAAAGAUCUCAAUAAAAGUAAAUACAGGGGCGUCUUUAAAAGGUAGUGUUAUUGUAAUAAUGGUUUGUAACUAUACUUUUUGGUUUUUACAUGAGUUAAGAGACCAAUACAUUAAAAGAAAGAACAGUUAUUGGUGUAAAAGCUA
Leopardus geoffroyi (Geoffroy's cat) is the source of this 2696-nucleotide long non-coding RNA. RefSeq lists it as uncharacterized. The record is from RefSeq and is a predicted model, not a curated record. The transcript is spliced from 2 exons. NCBI's taxonomy places the organism in Eukaryota, Metazoa, Chordata, Mammalia, Carnivora, Felidae.